UGGGGAAUAUUGCACAAUGGGCGCAAGCCUGAUGCAGCAACGCCGCGUGAGGGACGACGGCCUUCGGGUUGUAAACCUCUUUUAGUAGGGAAGAAGCGAAAGUGACGGUACCUGCAGAAAAAGCACCGGCUAACUACGUGCCAGCAGCCGCGGUAAUACGUAGGGUGCGAGCGUUGUCCGGAAUUAUUGGGCGUAAAGAGCUCGUAGGCGGUCUGUCGCGUCUGCUGUGAAAACCCGAGGCUCAACCUCGGGCCUGCAGUGGGUACGGGCAGACUAGAGUGCGGUAGGGGAGAAUGGAAUUCCUGGUGUAGCGGUGGAAUGCGCAGAUAUCAGGAGGAACACCGAUGGCGAAGGCAGUUCUCUGGGCCGUAACUGACGCUGAGGAGCGAAAGCGUGGGGAGCGAACAGGAUUAGAUACCCUGGUAGUCCACGCCGUAAACGUUGGGCGCUAGAUGUGGGGACCAUUCCACGGUUUCCGUGUCGCAGCUAACGCAUUAAGCGCCCCGCCUGGGGAGUACGGCCGCAAGGCUAAAACUUAAAUGAAUUGACGGGGUCAUAGCUGUUUCCU
This 568-nucleotide ribosomal RNA is filed under the name uncultured bacterium. RNAcentral's name for it is "partial 16S ribosomal RNA". It matches the Rfam family "Bacterial small subunit ribosomal RNA", at positions 355 to 1375 of the family's 1533-position model. The record is from RNAcentral.